This 210-nucleotide long non-coding RNA is filed under the name Coffea arabica (coffee). RNAcentral's name for it is "long non-coding RNA (CARA_LNC007292)". Lineage: Eukaryota; Viridiplantae; Streptophyta; Magnoliopsida; Gentianales; Rubiaceae. The record is from RNAcentral.
AGAAAAUGCAUGAAAUCCAUGUGGAUUGCUAGAUCAUGUCGUAUUAACUUCCAAGGACCCUAUAAAGAAAGGGUACCAAAUGAAAUUUCUCAUAUUUAGGUACAUCAUGAAGAUUUGAUCCAAGAAGUGCUAUAUGGUUGUAAGUACAAUUGAAAAUUUUGAUAUUCAAUAUGGUCUUGAUUUGAAAAAUAAAGGGAGAGUUUGUUUUUU